GUCUGGUUAGCUCAGCUGGUUAGAGUGUGGUGCCAAUAACGCUAAGGUUGUGGGUUCAAUUCCCAUACUGGCCA
Poeciliopsis prolifica (blackstripe livebearer) is the source of this 74-nucleotide non-coding RNA. The record is from the annotation of a RefSeq genome assembly. Lineage: Eukaryota; Metazoa; Chordata; Actinopteri; Cyprinodontiformes; Poeciliidae.